GUGCCAGCCGCCGCGGUAAGACAGAGGGUGCAAACGUUGUUCGGAAUUACUGGGCGUAAAGCGCGUGUAGGCUGUCGUGCAAGUCGGGUGUGAAAGCCCGGGGCUCAACCCCGGAAGUGCACUCGAAACUGCAUGACUAGAGUCCUGGAGAGGGAGGCGGAAUUCUGGGUGUAGAGGUGAAAUUCGUAGAUAUCCAGAGGAACACCGGUGGCGAAGGCGGCCUCCUGGACAGUGACUGACGCUGAGACGCGAAAGCGUGGGGAGCAAACAGGAUUAGAAACCCCCGUAGUCC
RNAcentral lists this ribosomal RNA (292 nucleotides) under uncultured bacterium. Its description in RNAcentral is "partial 16S ribosomal RNA". It matches the Rfam family "Bacterial small subunit ribosomal RNA", at positions 505 to 796 of the family's 1533-position model. The record is from RNAcentral.